GGUGGCCCCCCUGACCCCUCCCUGGGCACAGGUAGGGAACCUGAAGGCCCACCUGAAGAUCCACAUCGCUGACGGGCCCCUCAAGUGCCGAGAGUGUGGGAAGCAGUUCACCACCUCAGGUAGGGCCAGGGCUGCCCUGGCUGCCCUCACACCCCUGCUCCUCGGCCACCGGUGGUGCCCCACGCCAGGUUCGCCCUCGGUCUCGCCACAGGGAACCUGAAGCGGCACCUUCGGAUCCACAGCGGGGAGAAGCCCUACGUGUGCAUCCACUGCCAGCGACAGUUUGCAGACCCCGGCGCUCUGCAGCGGCACGUCCGCAUUCACACAGGUGGGUGGUGAGCGGCCAUGCCCAGGACUGGGAGGGCACGGAGAGGAGCAGGCACCAACAACUUCUGCCCGGUCCCCAGGUGAGAAGCCAUGCCAGUGUGUGAUGUGCGGUAAGGCCUUCACCCAGGCCAGCUCCCUCAUCGCCCACGUGCGCCAGCACACCGGGGAGAAGCCCUACGUCUGCGAGCGCUGCGGCAAGAGGUCCUGCCCCCUCCCCCACACCCACUGGCCAGACACCCCACAGUGAGGGGGCUCAGAAGACAAACUGGGGGCUUGGCUGGGGACUGAGCUGACUGCUGCCCACGCCCCAGGCUCUGGUCCUAGGGGUCCUUUUCAGUCUAGA
RNAcentral lists this small RNA (670 nucleotides) under Pan troglodytes (chimpanzee). RNAcentral describes it as "processed transcript". The record is from RNAcentral. Lineage: Eukaryota; Metazoa; Chordata; Mammalia; Primates; Hominidae.